GGCUGAGUAACACGUGGGCAACCUGCCCCCUCCACCGGGACAGCCUCGGGAAACCGUGGGUAAUACCGGAUACUCCGGGACGGCGGCAUGGCCGGCCCGGGAAAGCCCAGACGGGAGGGGAUGGGCCCGCGGCCUGUUAGCUAGUCGGCGGGGUAACGGCCCACCGAGGCGAUUAUGGGUAGCCGGGUUGAGAGACCGACCGGCCAGAUUGGGACUGAGACACGGCCCAGACUCCUACGGGAGGCAGCAGUGGGGAAUCUUGCGCAAUGGGCGGAAGCCUGACGCAGCGACGCCGCGUGCGGGACGAAGGCCUUCGGGUCGUAAACCGCUUUCAGCAGGGACGAGGCCCUCACGGUGACGGUACCUGCAGAAGAAGCCCCGGCUAACUACGUGCCAGCAGCCGCGGUAAUACGUAGGGGGCGAGCGUUAUCCGGAUUCAUUGGGCGUAAAGCGCGCGUAGGCGGCCUGUUAGGUCGGGGGUCAAAUACCGGGGCUCAACCCCGGUCCGCCCCCGAUACCGGCAGGCUUGAGUCUGGUAGGGGAAGGCGGAAUUCCCAGUGUAGCGGUGGAAUGCGCAGAUAUUGGGAAGAACACCGGCGGCGAAGGCGGCCUUCUGGGCCACGACUGACGCUGAGGCGCGAAAGCUAGGGGAGCGAACAGGAUUAGAUACCCUGGUAGUCCUAGCCGUAAACG
Molecule: ribosomal RNA, 693 nt
Filed under: uncultured bacterium
Lineage: Bacteria
Description: bacterial SSU rRNA
Rfam family: Bacterial small subunit ribosomal RNA
Source: RNAcentral